Molecule: long non-coding RNA, 1036 nt
Organism: Vigna angularis (adzuki bean)
Lineage: Eukaryota; Viridiplantae; Streptophyta; Magnoliopsida; Fabales; Fabaceae
Exons: 2
Source: RefSeq, a predicted model, not a curated record
AGUGAAUGAAGAAGAGGAUGGUUAUUGAAUGAAGGGAGCCCACGUAAAUUUGAUGCAUCCAGCAAAAUUGGGGGUGUGUCCAGCAACACUUGGGCUUCAUUCACGCGUCCAUGCAAGCUGUCCAGUAGCUGACGCGCCCAACAAUAUCAUCCAGCUUGGAGAGGGGCGCACGUCCAGCAAGCUCGGAAGAAGGGCAACACACGGCCCAGAGAAAACACGUUGUUGGCUGGAUUGAGAGGCGCGAACAGCAGAUCCAACAGGUGUGUGCUUGGAGAGAAUGGGAGGUGCACACGGAAGCACACAGCAGCAAGGAGAAACCGUGUCCAGCGUCCAGCAGCAGCAUUCACGCUGAUAUAUUUGGAGGUGUCCAGCCGCUAAUGGGGGGAUCUUCUUACUUUGGAGAAAGAAAGCACGCAUGGAGGGCUACGGGUAGCAGCAGAGAAGCACAGCUAGAAAGCAAGGGUGCCUCGGCCUGGAGCUGAACCAGCCGCCACUCUUCACUUUGCAAUUUUCCUUGAACGUUUUAUGGAGUUUGGAAUGGUUUUAAGGUGAAUUUAGUGAAAAGAGUGAAGAAGGAGAGAAGUGACAUUAGAAAAGACAAGAAAGAGUGCAAAAAGAGAAGACAAAGGCACCGCUCAGCGGCAUUUUACCGCUGAGCGGCACUCAGGAGGUUGCGGGAGUCACGUUGAGGGGCAAACUGGCCGCUGAGGGGAAGAAAAAGACGCGCAAUCGCCGCUGAGCGGCACUUUUUGGGCUUGGGCUUUUGUAAUCUUUUGUAACUCUAGAAUAGUAUAUAAGGACUUGCACGUCCUAGGGUUAGAGAUCUUUGGCAGAACGAAGGCAAACACUCUCUCUUCCACCCCUUUGAAGGAGGAUCUUGGAUGCUCAGGCUACCUCUUCACCUUUUUAGGGUUUAUUCUUUCAUACUUUCAUUGUAAUUCAUCUAGGUUCACCAUGAAUAUGGUGAACUAAACCUUGUAUGUUUGUUGGGGAAUCAAUGUAAUCUCUUGAAGCUCUCAUAUAUGGAAUUUAUGCU